CGCACGUCGAUUGCUCUCUAG
RNAcentral lists this microRNA (21 nucleotides) under Macaca mulatta rhadinovirus. RNAcentral describes it as "rrv-miR-rR1-7-3p". Its record names the gene rrv-miR-rR1-7-3p. Lineage: Duplodnaviria; Heunggongvirae; Peploviricota; Herviviricetes; Herpesvirales; Orthoherpesviridae. The record is from miRBase by way of RNAcentral.